RNAcentral lists this long non-coding RNA (240 nucleotides) under Mytilus galloprovincialis (Mediterranean mussel). The record is from RNAcentral. Lineage: Eukaryota; Metazoa; Mollusca; Bivalvia; Mytilida; Mytilidae.
GUGCGAUUGUUUUUUUCUUGUUUUUUUUUCGGUUUUGGGGGGGGGGGGGGGUAUUUUUGUAGGCAUAUUAAAAAUAAAUAUGUACAUCUGUUUUUAUGUCAUAUCUCAACCUCCGUAUAUUUGGUUUCCUCGGAAAUGUUUUUACACGAUGUAUUUUCUGGAAAAUACACUGUACUACAAAGACUGUGCAAUGUCUUGAGAGAAAGCGAAAUUCAGAGAGAGAAGCACAUUAAUUUAUUG